GUAGUUGUGGCUCAGUGGUAGAGCACUUGCAUGGCAUGUGUGAGGCACUGGGUUCCAUCCCCAGCACCACA
Molecule: non-coding RNA, 71 nt
Organism: Ictidomys tridecemlineatus (thirteen-lined ground squirrel)
Lineage: Eukaryota; Metazoa; Chordata; Mammalia; Rodentia; Sciuridae
Source: Rfam